GAUGAACGCUGGCGGCGUGCCUAAUACAUGCAAGUCGAGCGAACAGACGAGGAGCUUGCUCCUCUGACGUUAGCGGCGGACGGGUGAGUAACACGUGGAUAACCUACCUAUAGGACUGGGAUAACUUCGGGAAACCGGAGCUAAUACCGGAUAAUAUAUUGAACCGCAUGGUUCAAUAGUGAAAGACGGUUUUGCUGUCACUUAUAGAUGGAUCCGCGCCGCAUUAGCUAGUUGGUAAGGUAACGGCUUACCAAGGCAACGAUGCGUAGCCGACCUGAGAGGGUGAUCGGCCACACUGGAACUGAGACACGGUCCAGACUCCUACGGGAGGCAGCAGUAGGGAAUCUUCCGCAAUGGGCGAAAGCCUGACGGAGCAACGCCGCGUGAGUGAUGAAGGUCUUCGGAUCGUAAAACCCUGUUAUUAGGGAAGAACAAAUGUGUAAGUAACUAUGCACGUCUUGACGGUACCUAAUCAGAAAGCCACGGCUAACUACGUG
RNAcentral lists this ribosomal RNA (497 nucleotides) under uncultured bacterium. RNAcentral describes it as "partial 16S ribosomal RNA". It matches the Rfam family "Bacterial small subunit ribosomal RNA", at positions 28 to 507 of the family's 1533-position model. The record is from RNAcentral.